CGGGAUCCUAGUAAGCGCAAGUCAUCAGCUUGCGUUGAUUACGUCCCUGCCCUUUGUACACACCGCCCGAGGAUCCUAGUAAGCGCAACUCAUCAGCUGGCGUUGAUUACGUCCCUGCCCUUUGUACACACCGCCCGUCGCUACUACCGAUUGAAUGGCUCAGUGAGGCUUUCGGACUGAUCUAAGGGAGGAGGCAACUCUUCCCCCUGGUCGGAAAGUUAUCCAAACUCGGUCAUUUAGAGGAAGUAAAAGUCGUAACAAGGUCUCCGUUGGUGAACCAGCGGAGGGAUCAUUACUGAGUUUACGCUCUACAACCCUUAGUGAACAUACCUAUAACUGUUGCUUCGGCGGGUAGGGUCUCCGCGACCCUCCCGGCCUCCCGCCCCCGGGCGGGUCGGCGCCCGCCGGAGGAUGACCAAACUCUGAUUUAACGACGUUUCUUCUGAGUGGUACAAGCAAAUAAUCAAAACUUUUAACAACGGAUCUCUUGGUUCUGGCAUCGAUGAAGAACGCAGCGAAAUGCGAUAAGUAAUGUGAAUUGCAGAAUUCAGUGAAUCAUCGAAUGUUUGAACGCACAUUGCGCCCGCCAGCAUCUGGCGGGCAUGCCUGUUCGAGCGUCAAUCAACCCUCAAGCUCUGCUUGGUGUUGGGGCCCUACAGCCGAUGUAGGCCCUCAAAGGUAGUGGCGGACCCUCCCGGAGCCUCCUUUGCGUAGUAACUUUACGUCUCGCACUGGGAUCCGGAGGGACUCUUGCCGUAAAACCCCCCAAUUUUCCAAAGGUUGACCUCGGAUCAGGUAGGAAUACCCGCUGAACUUAAGCAUAUCAUUU
RNAcentral lists this ribosomal RNA (829 nucleotides) under uncultured Glomerellales. RNAcentral's name for it is "eukaryotic LSU rRNA". The stretch from base 1 to 295 matches the Rfam family "Eukaryotic small subunit ribosomal RNA", at positions 1567 to 1831 of the family's 1831-position model. The record is from RNAcentral. Lineage: Eukaryota; Fungi; Ascomycota; Sordariomycetes; Glomerellales.